GAAUCAAGACCCCAACAAGACCGAAGAAAAGAAGACUCAAGACCCCAACAAGACCACAGUAAAAGUGGAACAAGACCAAGAAGAAGAAUAUAUACCAGAACAAGACCAAGAAGAAGAAUGGCAAUUUAAAAGUAAAAGGAAAAAAAGGAAGAAGUCCAAAGAAAAUGACUCUGCAAACAAACAGCUUCGGCCGAAAUAGCCUAACGGCGAAGUGGCCAGUAAUUCCCAAACAAACUAAAAAAAACAUUGUGACGUCACUUGAAAGCCAUUUGCCUGCAUAUGUCGCUACUGCCCUCUGUGGAUAUCAAGCUUUUGUAGCCUUCCUUAACCAAUACAAGAGAGGACAGGUGCUGCCACGGGCGGCCGCAGGAUUUUUCCAGGGGGGCUGCAAGAAAGCAAGACAAGACCUGACAUAUCAGUUUAUUCAAAACAGCUGGUGACCGCCAAAUGCAAGCGAAAGCAUGUUGAAGUCGACUCGUUAACCGAGGGAUCACUGUACACAGUAGUAACUCUGCCUUGUUCAACUGAACAUGUCUGUCCCCAGCCCGGAUAAAGGAGGAGGGCUACUGCAGUGUUGCAGAUAUUAUCACCUCAUAAACUUUGUUUUCAGACCAAUUUAUAAUACAAGGUACAGUAACUAUAUUUACUAAGACCAUCAAUGUAGUAUUUUAGCUUUUUAUAGAUGGAUAGUAACGAGAAAUGAGAUAAUUUAUAUACAGGUAUACACUCACAAUUAAUGGUCACAAAACCAUGUUCAAUAAUGUAAGACUAAUCAUGUAGUACACAGUAUAUUAUGUUUUGUAGACAGGGAAUCUUGAAAAAUAAAAAGAAUUGUAUAGUUUAUUUUUAUUAUACACUACAUGUGUUAGUUUGCAAUAAGAGUCCAGAAAGAUUACUAAAGAACUUGUCAAAUUGCCUUAGUUUUGUGUUACACCUGCACUGUCUAGGUACUUAAUAGUUAACAUAAAACUACCUGAAUGUCUAGUAAUCAAUAAAUUAAAACCUUCAUUAUCUUGUAUUAGCGUAGGAGUUAAUCAGUGAACUUGCAACGGUUGGGAAAGUCUCACUAGAUAACAUUAUCCUUAUAUCUCAAGAUAAGCACAUUACCACUAUAACAUCUUUUCUCUGCAGAUGCAUUGUGAUGGAGGCAUCCUCACACUCACAUAAUCUGUCAAGCAUUUCCCAAUUCAACCUUUAUAAUGGACUCCACUUAAGGAUUAGUUUAUUACACUAAACCUUAAUGAUUUUGUCUGUCUUAUGUCAGGUUUUGGUCAUACACAAGAUUUAGUUUGAUCUAAUAAUGAAAGUCUUGUACUUCAUGAAUAAUUUUGACCAGGUACAGUUCAGACCAGAAUAUGGGUAUUUCUUUAUUUAUGCAAGUAACCAAAUCUAUUUAGUAUUCAUCACUUCCACCACUUGACAAUUUGCUAGCUUUUUGGGCAGGCGAGUAUGGUGAGGGAGUGAGUGGGUAGGGGUGUAAUAUUUGCUAGGUAAACAGCGUUCAACACCCUUCUCACAUCUGUCCCAGGAUGGAGUUUGUGCCCCAGGACAAUUUUGCGAGAUACACACACACACACUACCACCAACACCCACUGUACUUUAGUUCAAAUAUCAAAUUAUUUCGUUCAAAACGUUACAACUUUAAACAUGACCCUUGGAUUUCAAAGUCUUUACUUUGUGUGUUGUACAUAA
This 1692-nucleotide long non-coding RNA is filed under the name Homarus americanus (American lobster). RNAcentral's name for it is "uncharacterized LOC121878452, transcript variant X2". Lineage: Eukaryota; Metazoa; Arthropoda; Malacostraca; Decapoda; Nephropidae. The record is from RNAcentral.